This 69-nucleotide transfer RNA is filed under the name Eremias argus. RNAcentral describes it as "tRNA-Pro". The record is from RNAcentral. Lineage: Eukaryota; Metazoa; Chordata; Lepidosauria; Squamata; Lacertidae.
CAAAAGAUAGUUUAGACAAAAUACUGGCUUUGGGGGCUAGUGAUAAGGAGGUAAAAUCCUUUCUUUUGA